GACGAACGCUGGCGGCGUGCUUAACACAUGCAAGUCGAACGGUAAGGCCCUUCGGGGUACACGAGUGGCGAACGGGUGAGUAACACGUGGGCGAUCUGCCCUGCACUUCGGGAUAAGCCUGGGAAACUGGGUCUAAUACCGGAUAGGACCUCUGCCUGCAUGGGUGGUGGUGGAAAGCUUUUGCGGUGUGGGAUGGGCCCGCGGCCUAUCAGCUUGUUGGUGGGGUGAUGGCCUACCAAGGCGACGACGGGUAGCCGGCCUGAGAGGGUGACCGGCCACACUGGGACUGAGAUACGGCCCAGACUCCUACGGGAGGCAGAAGUGGGGAAUAUUGCACAAUGGGCGCAAGCCUGAUGCAGCGACGCCGCGUGAGGGAUGAAGGUCUUCGGAUUGUAAACCUCUUUCAGUAGGGACGAAGCGAAAGUGACGGUACCUAAAGAAGAAGCACCGGCUAACUACGUGCCAGCAGCCGCUGUAA
This 478-nucleotide ribosomal RNA is filed under the name uncultured bacterium. RNAcentral describes it as "partial 16S ribosomal RNA". It matches the Rfam family "Bacterial small subunit ribosomal RNA", at positions 28 to 523 of the family's 1533-position model. The record is from RNAcentral.